This 2705-nucleotide long non-coding RNA is filed under the name Musa acuminata (dwarf banana). Its description in RNAcentral is "long non-coding RNA (MACU_LNC000957)". Lineage: Eukaryota; Viridiplantae; Streptophyta; Magnoliopsida; Zingiberales; Musaceae. The record is from RNAcentral.
AGACUGCCACCCUAGAUUGCCCAGGCGUGUCAUGAGCUUUGCCCUGCAAUACAAGCCUAGGAAGAGUUGUUGGAGGUGCUCGAUUCUAGGAUUUCUGAUGUCACCAGUCCAAGUGCGGUGGACAUGCUCCUCUUCUUCCUCUUCGUCCCCCAAGGUAGUGCCUUUCAUCGAUUGCGUCUGUCUUCUUUAAAUCAUCCGUCACUUCGAAGUCUUGGCUUUAUUUAAUGAUGGGGGGAUCUUUGAGGGUUUUUAUUGACGCAGAUCGUAUUCUUUUGUUGUGGCUUCUUUUCUUAUUCUUAAUGAUUUCUUUCCUUUGGCAUGAUGGGUUUGAGUUUGGGAACCCCAAAGUUCAACUUUGGGAAGAUAUUGGGUGGUGAAACUGUAAUUUAGUUGGAUUUCAGAUGCAAUUUAUACUGUCUCAUCAAAAUUGAAGUUUCAAUGUACAAGUUGUUCUGGUUAAUACUUACCAAAUUUCAUCUUUUUUUUGCUUCUGCUUAUCAACCUGUUAGUUACUUUGAAGUUGAAGCAUAACAAAUUGUUAGUAACUUUAUAAGUUAGAGCGUGCAGUUUAGAGUAAUGGACUGCUGCAAAUUAUUUAAUUAAUUGUAUUGAUUACACUGCAUCCCAGUUUCCUUUAUGGAAUUCUAUCAGCAGAUUUGCUGUAAUUUUAGUUCAGUGUUCAUGUUAAUGCCAAAGGCAGUCUCUUUCCUUUUCUGCCUUCCGUUUUCUCCAAUCUCCAAAUAGGACUUUUCUAUGGCACAUCAGGUCAGUUGCAUACACAUGGAAAGAGUUUGAAUUCCUAUCCAUAAAGAGAGGGAAACCUACAGAUAAUUGAUAUAAGACCAAGAAUGUUAUGAAAUUUACUAAUUGAAUUUUUUUUAUCGGCGCAUGGUAUCUUUAUGGUUUCAGCAUCAGGCUCUAAAUAACUUGACUUUGUAGAAAGUGAAGUUGUUUGCUGAUAGUUUUGGCUAUGAACUUGCUUACUAUUGUCUUAUCCUUGAGCAAGAAUGAGCCAGCUGCCAGUGGUUCAAUGUUAGAGGUUAUUUCCCUUUGGGACUUAUCAUAUUACAAUCUGAUUUUUAUACUUGUAUGAGAUAUAGUUAAAAUUAUGUAUCAUGCAUACUAUUUUUUGCAAAAUAGUAGCGAAUCACUUCAGUAGAAACUAACAUCGUGCUACAAAUUAUUGCUAGGUGGGGUUGACGAGACCACUGGAGAAGUUGAUCCCUGAUGCUAUUUCGGAUCAAGCAAAAGGUCUUGUAAUACAGACUGCUGUAAAUGUCUGAAUAAUGGCUAUAUAGUUGGGACCUGUAGAGAGGAUGGUUCCUGGUUUCCACCAUCUGCCAUCUCUCUUCAUUUGGUUUUGGAUGGGAGACCCAGGUCAGUUCAUUUCUUUCCCUAUGUAUGUUUUAAUUUUUAACAAAUUAUUAAUUUGAAAAGACUCUUGAGAUCAUGAGAUGAAUGAGCGAAAUGAGUAUUUGAGUUUUUCUCCCCUUGGAUGGAGGCAAGCUAACCGAUUAUAUAUUGUCCCGAGAAACAAAUAGGUUAUCAGAACUUUUAGUGGAAAUGUGCAUUAUUUAUCAGUUGGUUCAGGAUUGAGUGCAGCUGCUGGCACUGUUUGAUGUGUGACUGUGGCUGAUAUAUGUGCAGAUGAUGGUGCCUAUAGCUGUAGCUAAGGUAUGGGUUGUCCUAACAUCGACCUGCUUCUGCGAAUUAAGACAGUCAGAUUAGUUGCUGAUAUAGGUCGAAUCAAAUUGAGGAUUCUUCUUCAUUGAACUUGGAUUGGCUUCCAAAGUCUUUUCUUUUUAGAGAUUUCAGAUUAACAAGAACUGCUUCUUACUGUAUGUUUAUCAUGUAUUUUCAAAAAAAUAUCUGUUUUUUCAUUUCCUUUGCGUUGCUGUACGGUUCCACGACUCCUGAAAUUAGCAAAUACUUGAGUUGGUCUCCCUGCAUUCCCAUUCCAUGCACUUUGAAGAAGUAAAAAUAGAAGGAAAUACCAUGCUCUGAAAAGCCAAAUUAUUUAUGCCUAUUUCUGAUUGGAAUUUUCUAGUUGGUGAUGAUGCCAUGUUUAAUACUCAACACUACAUUGUUGCUCUGGUUGUUCUCCAUCGAAAACCUCGGAACGGUCUAUUCUUUGUAACAUGGCAUUUGGGUUUCCUCUACUGCAGGUGCAUUUGUGGAUUGUUCAACAUCACGAAACUCCUGCUUCUCCAGUGCUCCUGCCAAGGCAUCAGACAUCCGAGGCCUCCUGCAGCCGUUCUCUAUAUUGCUCUUGCUGAUCUAGUCCUUAAGAUAGAAAGUCAACAUGAUACAGAUUUGAACCAAGAAACAUUCCUUAGCUGCAAAUUUAGUCUCUUAAAGUGAUCCUUGUUGUUCUGCAUUGCAUAUUGAUCCCUAAUCUUUGGUUUUUAUGUACAGAGAGUGGCAAUUAAAUGUUUGAACAGAUUAAACUUCACUUUAUAAGUGGAUUACUUUAAUUAUCAGUUCUGGUAUUCCACAAGUGUACAUAUUGGAAACAUGGAAGUGCUGCUUGUGCCAAAGACUCUUGCUUCUGUCAGAAUCUAUAUGUGGUUAUGAGAGAUAAUACUGCGAUUGCUUGGAUGUAUGCCUUGAAACGCUAAUACAGCUUUUCUAGUGUAUAUAUAUAUAUAUAUAUAUAUAUAUAUAUAUAUAUAUAUAUAUAUAUAUAUAUAUAUAUAUAUAUAUAU